CAGGGAGACAAACAAUGAUUUUGAUGUCUGAGUUUUUUUAUUCUUAGGCCAAAAUCCUGUCACCUUAGGUCGAUCGGUACCUCAACUUUGAAGCUAAGAGAAUCCAGCAAUGGAUUUCUGCUUAGUGGAGAAUUUUAGUUCCUAAACUUUGUCUAGUUCACAACCCAUUAGGGAUGAGACUCCUGGGCCAUUAGCUCAGGUGGUUAGAGCGCACCCCUGAUAAGGGUGAGGUCCCUGGUUCAAGUCCAGGAUGGCCCAUUCGGUGUAGGGGGUUUAGCUCAGUUGGUAGAGCGCCUGCUUUGCAAGCAGGAUGUCAGGAGUUCGAGUCUCCUAACCUCCACUGACUACCAAGAAUCCCCAUCUCCAAAGCCUGGAGUAUGAACUCGUAUGGAUGGGGAUUUAAAUGUGUCCACUAGAUGACCCUGACUUCUUGUCUUUUAAGGCUUGAAAAAGAUUCCAGGAGAUUGAUGUAUAGGAU
Molecule: transfer RNA, 478 nt
Filed under: uncultured Synechococcus sp.
Lineage: Bacteria; Bacillati; Cyanobacteriota; Cyanophyceae; Synechococcales; Synechococcaceae
Description: partial 16S-23S ribosomal RNA intergenic spacer
Rfam family: tRNA (bases 268-340)
Source: RNAcentral